UGGGGGAUAUUGCACAAUGGGGGAAACCCUGAUGCAGCGACGCCGCGUGGGUGAAGGAGCACUUCGGUGCGUAAAGCCCUAUCGGCAGGGAAGAAAAGGGGGAAACCCCAGACGGUACCUGACUAAGAAGCCCCGGCGUAACUACGUGCC
RNAcentral lists this ribosomal RNA (150 nucleotides) under uncultured bacterium. Its description in RNAcentral is "partial 16S ribosomal RNA". It matches the Rfam family "Bacterial small subunit ribosomal RNA", at positions 355 to 509 of the family's 1533-position model. The record is from RNAcentral.